GGCGGACGGGUGAGUAACGCGUGGGUAACCUGCCUCAUACAGGGGGAUAACAGUUGGAAACGGCUGCUAAUACCGCAUAAGCGCACAGUACCGCAUGGUACGGUGUGAAAAACUCCGGUGGUAUGAGAUGGACCCGCGUCUGAUUAGGUAGUUGGUGGGGUAACGGCCCACCAAGCCGACGAUCAGUAGCCGACCUGAGAGGGUGACCGGCCACAUUGGGACUGAGACACGGCCCAA
Molecule: ribosomal RNA, 237 nt
Filed under: uncultured bacterium
Lineage: Bacteria
Description: partial 16S ribosomal RNA
Rfam family: Bacterial small subunit ribosomal RNA
Source: RNAcentral